UCCUGCAUGGAAAGUAAUUGUGGGCUGCCUGUGCCCUGGUCAUUGAUACUGGAGGGAGAGGAGUUGCUGAAAGAUCUUUCCCAAUGUUUGAAGAGCCUAGCCAUCCAUUCCAAACCCUGGAGUUUUCACACA
Molecule: small nucleolar RNA, 132 nt
Organism: Bison bison bison
Lineage: Eukaryota; Metazoa; Chordata; Mammalia; Artiodactyla; Bovidae
Gene: SNORA71
Rfam family: Small nucleolar RNA SNORA71
About the family: The members of this family belong to the H/ACA class of snoRNAs which bind a number of proteins (including dyskerin, Gar1p and Nop10p) to form snoRNP complexes.
Source: Ensembl